This 297-nucleotide ribosomal RNA is filed under the name uncultured bacterium. Its description in RNAcentral is "partial 16S ribosomal RNA". It matches the Rfam family "Bacterial small subunit ribosomal RNA", at positions 334 to 629 of the family's 1533-position model. The record is from RNAcentral.
GCGUCCUACGGGGCGCAGCAGUGAGGAAUAUUGGUCAAUGGUCGGGAGACUGAACCAGCCAAGCCGCGUGAGGGAAGACGGCCCUAUGGGUUGUAAACCUCUUUUGUCGGAGAACAAAACCCGGGACGUGUCCCGGACUGCGUGUAUCCGAAGAAAAAGCAUCGGCUAACUCCGUGCCAGCAGCCGCGGUAAUACGGAGGAUGCGAGCGUUAUCCGGAUCUAUUGGGUUUAAAGGGUGCGUAGGCGGUCCGUUAAGUCAGCGGUAAAAUUGCGGGGCUCAACCCCGUCGAGCCGUUG